UGGUGCAAUUAUGCCAGGAUUAAUGCACCGGAUCCCAUCAAAAUUCCGCAAUUAAGCAUGCUUGGGCGAGAGUAGUACUAGGAUGGGUGACCUCCUUGGAAGCGCUUGUAUUGAACCCU
RNAcentral lists this ribosomal RNA (119 nucleotides) under Beta vulgaris subsp. vulgaris (sugar beet). Lineage: Eukaryota; Viridiplantae; Streptophyta; Magnoliopsida; Caryophyllales; Amaranthaceae. The record is from RNAcentral.